RNAcentral lists this ribosomal RNA (332 nucleotides) under Klebsiella pneumoniae. Its description in RNAcentral is "partial 23S ribosomal RNA". It matches the Rfam family "Bacterial large subunit ribosomal RNA", at positions 746 to 1075 of the family's 2925-position model. The record is from RNAcentral. Lineage: Bacteria; Pseudomonadati; Pseudomonadota; Gammaproteobacteria; Enterobacterales; Enterobacteriaceae.
UGAAGGUUGGGUAACACUAACUGGAGGACCGAACCGACUAAUGUUGAAAAAUUAGCGGAUGACUUGUGGCUGGGGGUGAAAGGCCAAUCAAACCGGGAGGUAGCUGGUUCUCCCCGAAAGCUAUUUAGGUAGCGCCUCGUAAACUCAUCUUCGGGGGUAGAGCACUGUUUCGGCUAGGGGGUCAUCCCGACUUACCAACCCGAUGCAAACUACGAAUACCGAAGAAUGUUAUAACGGGAGACACACGGCGGGUGCUAACGUCCGUCGUGAAGAGGGAAACAACCCAGACCGCCAGCUAAGGUCCCAAAGUCAUGGUUAAGUGGGAAACGAUG